Molecule: ribosomal RNA, 511 nt
Filed under: Mantidactylus majori (Ivohimanita Madagascar frog)
Lineage: Eukaryota; Metazoa; Chordata; Amphibia; Anura; Mantellidae
Description: partial 16S ribosomal RNA
Rfam family: Bacterial large subunit ribosomal RNA
Source: RNAcentral
AGUUCAACGGCCAUGGUAUCCUGACCAUGCGAAGGUAGCAUAAUCACUUGUUCUUUAAAUGGGGACUUGUAUCAACGGCAUCACGAGGGUUUUACUGUCUCCUCUUUCUAAUCAGUGAAACUAAUCUCCCCGUGAAGAAGCGGGGAUAUUUAUAUAAGACGAGAAGACCCCAUGGAGCUUCAAACCCAAUUACACCCCCUCACCCCCCCAUAACCACCUAUUCCCCUAAGGCCGCGUGUAAUUAGUUUUCGGUUGGGGCGACCACGGAGUAUAAUCAAACCUCCAUGAUGAACGGGAUUACCCUUAUCUGAGAGUAACAGCUCUAAGAAAUAGAACACUAACAUAAAAUGAUCCAUUAUAUGAUCAACGAACCAAGUUACCCUGGGGAUAACAGCGCAAUCCAUUUCAAGAGCCCCUAUCGACAAAUGGGUUUACGACCUCGAUGUUGGAUCAGGAUAUCCUAGUGGUGCAGCAGCUACUAACGGUUCGUUUGUUCAACGAUUAAAAUCCU